This 462-nucleotide long non-coding RNA is filed under the name Nicotiana tabacum (common tobacco). RNAcentral describes it as "long non-coding RNA (NTAB_LNC004153)". The record is from RNAcentral. Lineage: Eukaryota; Viridiplantae; Streptophyta; Magnoliopsida; Solanales; Solanaceae.
AGGUCACUCGAUUAAAUCCUGAAACACCCAUCUUGUCCCUGCAACACCGCGAAUCCUGGCUCAAAUCUUUCCCCUUUCAUCUUUACAAUUGAAACCCCUCAAUCAGAACCCUAGACCUAAAGUAUGACCUAGGAGUUUCAUCUGUGUUUGGUCCGAUCAUUCAAAUCAGAGCAUGCGUGACUGAUUCUUCAAUCUCAUUAUCAUUAUUCUUUGUCCAGAGGCCAAACACAUUGAUCUAUGGAUAUAAGAUUUUAACCGAUGGUCCGAUGACUUCAACGGUCUUCCUCAUCUAUCCCCAUGCCAGGUAAAAGACUUCAUCAUUUUUCCCUUUGUUCUUCUCUGAUUUUACUAUUGCUAUCGUCCACCCAUCACCAUCUACUAACUAUUUGAAUUCGUCCAAACCCUAAGUGGAACGAAUGUCUCUAUAAUUAGGGCAUUCAACGUUCACACCAACACACACCG